This is a non-coding RNA of Phasianus colchicus (ring-necked pheasant), 1983 nucleotides long. NCBI's taxonomy places the organism in Eukaryota, Metazoa, Chordata, Aves, Galliformes, Phasianidae. The record is from RefSeq and is a predicted model, not a curated record.
UCCAGCUAGAACAACAAGUGCAAUGCCAACAGCUGAAGCUCAUACAGGAAAGCAAAACAGCAGUAGCUGCAGAAGUCCUGCACUCCUCCCCGCCCAGCAGCAUCGCUACACGGCCACAGCUCAGGUGCCUGCUUUGAAAGCUCCCCAUGAAACAGACACUGCAUCACUGCCUAACUGCUGUGAAAAGCCUAAUACAGAUUUUUCAUGAUUGUUUGAUAGUAGGCAGAACAGUAUGUAAAGAGGAAUCUUCAAGUCCUGCAGGCCCUGGCAGAGUAUGCCCUGAUUUAGCUGACUUGGUUAUCACAGCAAGUCAUAGCAGAGUGCGCCUACUGGCUCUCUUUGUAGCUGAAGUCAAGUUGGGAACCCAAAACUGAGUUUCUAAUGCAUUGCACUGCCAUCGCAUUGUCCAACGCAGUUGUACAGAUUAACUCGCAAAGAAUGGGAGGAAACAUGGCAAACGAGACUUACAAUAUACCCAGGAGCAAACAGCCCUGCCACAAACAGAGCAGUGUGUGCUCUACACACAAAAAUGUAUGUAUUUUCUUUCUGAAGAUGCAGGAUUUCACUUCACACGUUCUUCCUGUGGACCAACUCCCUUUCCAAUUGUUUAAAGGGCCAGAAGUCAGAUACCACAAGCUCAAGCAACCCCAUGGUUUUUCCAGACAAGGUCACUGUAAGGCCAAGGAUCUCCUGAUGUCACAACAGGCACAGCACUUCGUGGUGUAUUCUGUGAUGCUGAAGACUGUGUGGAGUCCUGACCGCAAUCAGUUUUGGCCUCCUGUGAUUUUUAUCUGCUUAGCUGAAGAACAGCAAGCAAAGGGGUGAAACAGAAGAACAGAGCUCUCUGGUCUGCCCUGGUAAUCCACCACAGCCCUGACCUGCAGAGAAAGGCCUUUCUCACCUUCCCAGUCUGGACAGACUUUGUGUAUUGCCAGAAGAGCUGUUUUAGACAGUGGCUUUUCACUGCUUCCUGACUGUGGUUUCAUAUUCUGAGGUGGCUCAUCCUCAUGCUGCACAGAAAAUCACAUGAAUCAUGCUUUGUAACAGAAGGAGUGCAGCUGGACUGUAACACCAUUGAUGGUCCCUUCCAACUGAGCUAUUCUAUUCUAAUUGCUCAGUCACUUUCACAUUCGGAGCCAGGCCAAGGUAGAGCCCUCAGAAGCAGCUUUCUGAACAACUGUCAGUACGGAAAAGUUCGCUUAUUUACACAUUUUUCAAUUCUGGAGUCUACAUUUACUUUUCAGCAAAAAAUGUGAAAGCCAGAGACCAAUCCAGGAGUGGGACGUGAUGGCCUUUGGGGCUCCUUCCACCGCACGACGCCCAGUGACGCCUGCCCAGGGGAGCAGAAGGCCACAAGCUGUGACAGCACCGUACCUUUGGAACACCGCACUCUCUGUGAAGCUGGGCGGCCCAUUCACCAUGAAGAGCCCUUCGGAGCCCCUCACUGAAAGAGGAAACAAACACACACCCACUGCAGAUUCACAAAACUGCCCCGAGCCAAACUUUAACCUAAUUUACAAACGCUGAAAUGUCUCCCUUUUUUCGCAUUUUAGAGUUAAUAAAACAACUAAGGCUUAUAAGGGACGUUCCGGCCUCCCGCAGGCUAACCGCCGGACUAAAGCAGGGCAGAUGUGACACGAAGCGCAGUGCCGGCCCGCAGCCCAUCCGCGCGCUACUUCCGCGCAGCGCAUCUGAGCUCCGCACGGGGGUUCCGCGGGCAGCGGCGACCGCUUCGGCGGGCAGAGCGCGGCGGAACGCUGCCGACGGCCCUCGGCCGCCGCCGGGAGAACGGCGUGACCCCGGGCCCGUGGCCGAACCCCCGGCCGGGUCCCGCCGGGAUCCGGACCGCUCCGCCGCAGCCGCCUCCGCAGUGGGACGGGAGGAGCGGGACGGAGCGGCGGCGUCGCCGGCGGGACUCGAGCUCGGCGGGAGGGAAGGCGGAGCCCGGCGCCGUCCUCGGAACCCCCACCCGCCCGGCGCGGC